AUGAAGACCAGUCUUCGAUGCCUGCCAACAGCUUCCAUUUAUAACACCAGGCUCUUAUACCAGCAGCCACCUCAUAUAUCCUGGGCUUACCACGUCUCCAGAUGGCUUCAAGUGGCCGUGCGAGUGACUGAACUGUGCCCUCUAGGUCCAGCUCCUUCCAGUGGAUCCCAACACAGAAAGCGGGUAAAUCGCACUGCUUUCAUAAUGUGGCAGAAAUCCAUGAUGCAAGCCCCUGAUGAGAAGAAAUGCACCAUAGCCACCUAAAUAAAAUGUGAAUGUAUAUGCAACAAAUAUAUUUAACAGCACUUCUUACACUUUUUUAACAAGUACAUUUUUUAAAAAAUCAGGGAAUGCGAUUUUACGACAGAAACGGCCGAGGGUAAGCACGUGAGAGCAAGGCUGACAGUAUUCUGUUUACUUAUUUAACAGUUAUACGGACAUAUCAUAUAAAUGCAUUUCCUCUGUUACGGGAUUCUUUAAGGAUGACGAAUAAAGCAGUCUGAGUUUAAAGAAUGAAAAUGAGC
This 524-nucleotide long non-coding RNA is filed under the name Oryctolagus cuniculus (rabbit). Its description in RNAcentral is "lncRNA (ENSOCUG00000036093.1)". Lineage: Eukaryota; Metazoa; Chordata; Mammalia; Lagomorpha; Leporidae. The record is from RNAcentral.